CUGCAAAGCCGUCUGGUUGGAGUGGAAAACGAUAGAAAAGACUCCAGCGAUGCGUUAAUGGAGGCUAAAGUUCAGGUUGAGGAACUGAGUAGCAGAUUAUCCUUUCUGGAAGUCAAAAUGCACAAUGAUCAUGUCAACAAUGGCAAAGACAUAGCAAAACUCAGAAUGAGGCUCCGAGGAACGCAAGCACAGUUAGAUGGCUUCCGAU
Hibiscus syriacus is the source of this 208-nucleotide long non-coding RNA. RefSeq lists it as uncharacterized. Lineage: Eukaryota; Viridiplantae; Streptophyta; Magnoliopsida; Malvales; Malvaceae. The record is from RefSeq and is a predicted model, not a curated record. The transcript is spliced from 3 exons.